UACGGGGGGGGCAAGCGUUGUUCGGAAUUACUGGGCGUAAAGGGCUCGUAGGUGGCCAACUAAGUCAGACGUGAAAUCCCCAGGCUCAACUUGGGAACUGCGUCUGAUACUGGAUGGCUUGAAUUCGGGAGAGGGAUGCAGAAUUCCAGGUGUAGCGGUGAAAUGCGUAGAUAUCUGGAGGAACAUCAGUGGCGAAGGCGACUGUCUGGACAGAUACUGACGCUGAGGCGCGAAAGCGUGGGGAGCAAACAGG
RNAcentral lists this ribosomal RNA (253 nucleotides) under uncultured bacterium. Its description in RNAcentral is "partial 16S ribosomal RNA". It matches the Rfam family "Bacterial small subunit ribosomal RNA", at positions 524 to 776 of the family's 1533-position model. The record is from RNAcentral.